CAGCAGCCACGGGAAUACGUAGGUGGCAAACGUUGUCCGGAAUUAUUGGGCGUAAAGGGCUCGCAGGCGGUUUCUUAAGUCUGAUGUGAAAGCCCCCGGCUCAACCGGGGAGGGUCAUCGGAAACUGGGAAACUUGAGUGCAGAAGAGGAGAGUGGAAUUCCACGUGUAGCGGUGAAAUGCGUAGAGAUGUGGAGGAACACCAGUGGCGAAGGCGACUCUCUGGUCUGUAACUGACGCUGAGGAGCGAAAGCGUGGGGAGCGAACAGGAUUAGAUACCCCUGUAGUCCCUGUCUCUUAUAC
RNAcentral lists this ribosomal RNA (301 nucleotides) under uncultured bacterium. RNAcentral describes it as "partial 16S ribosomal RNA". It matches the Rfam family "Bacterial small subunit ribosomal RNA", at positions 509 to 807 of the family's 1533-position model. The record is from RNAcentral.